GCCAUUUGGGGUCGGAUUUGAGAACUUUUGAUAUGUAUGAACUCAUGGGGAGAUAAGGAACCUAUUGAUGUAAAAAUUAUUGAAUUCUGAGAUGUGGGCCCGGGGGUCGAGUUUUGGUAAUUUCGAGAUUUGUGCCCUUUAUUGAUUGCUUUCGCUUGGGCUUCGUUCCCUUAGCAUAUUUUGAUGUUCUCGUUCUGAUUUUGGAUAGAUUCAACGCGCGUGGAGGCCGAUUCUAGAGGCAAAGGUGUCGCGAGUUAGAGAUUUGACUAGUUCGAGGUGAGUAAUGAUUGUUAAUAAUGUUCUAAGGUUUUGAAACCCUGGAUUUCACAUCGUAGUGCUAUAUUGAGGUGAGGCACACGCUUGACGACGAGCGUGGGGUCGUGCACUAUUGGGGAUUGUGACUUGGUCCGUCCCGUUUGAUGAUUUUACUGCGUAUUUGACUGAAAUCUAUUUGUCAUCAUCAUUAUUUGGGCUGAAUGCCAUAUUUGGGCCUUAUUCCAACUAUUUGAACCCUUCAGGGAUUUUUACUGGUAUUUCCUCACUGUUUUGACUUUAUACUUGAACUCAGUCAUGUUAUAUUUCACUGUUUUUUGUACUCAGCCAUGUUUACUCUGUUUUUACACUCACAUGAUCUUUUAAAUGAUAUUUUGGGAUGAGAAACAUGUUUUAUUACUGCCCGAGUGGCUUGUGAGGAUUUUUGACUGAGUAAGGUUGAGGGACUAUGCUGUGAGGAAACAUUUGAUACUGAUUAUGAGGCCGAGGGCCUGAGAUAUGUACGCCACGAGGUGGCUUGAUUGAUAUGAGGCUGAGGGCCUAGUGAUGAUGCCACAAGGUUGCUUGAUAUUGCGCUUGGGCUGUAAGGGGCCCCUCCAGGAGUUUGUACACCCCCAGUAAGCGUGGGUACCCAUUGUGAUGUGAGAUUGAGCCCGAAAGGCUGGUAUUGUUCUGAGAUAUUGUCCGAGGGGCAGAUUUGUUGAUACUGUGCCCUAGUGGCGAAUUUCUAUUUAUUUACUUUACCUUAACUGUUUGUCAAUUACCUAUUUACUUGUUAGAGAAGGAUUGUUACUUAACUUUUCACUGGUUUACUGCUUUUAAAUGGUUUUACUGCUUUAUUAUAGAAUGCUUUGUGCCUUACGUGAUUUCUUGCUUUUAGUCUUUAUUUACAUUUGUUACUCACUGAGUUGGAAUACUCACUUUAUUCCCUGCACCCCUGUGUGCAGAUUCAGGCGUAGCUAGUUCUGCUCCCGAGUGCUGAUCCCUCCAGCUUCAGGCGGACAUUCGGAGUUCACAAGGUAGUUGUUGGCAUCUGCAGCCCCGUGUCUCUACUCCUUUAUCACUUCUAUCUCUUUUCAGACAGUUGUACUAGUUUAUUGACUUAGCGGAUUUGUAUUAUGACUUAUAGAUGCCCAUGACUAGUGACACCCAGGUUUCGGGUUGUGUUGGGUUAUUCUUCCGCGUAUUUAUGAUAUUAUCUGCUACUUUGGAUUAUUUUAUCAUGUUUCGACUCUUUCUAAAUGCUUAAUUGUUAAUAAAAUUGGAAAAUGGGAAGUGUCAGCUAGCCUUGUCUUCACGACAAGCACCAUCACGAUCGG
RNAcentral lists this long non-coding RNA (1592 nucleotides) under Nicotiana tabacum (common tobacco). RNAcentral describes it as "long non-coding RNA (NTAB_LNC005034)". Lineage: Eukaryota; Viridiplantae; Streptophyta; Magnoliopsida; Solanales; Solanaceae. The record is from RNAcentral.